Molecule: ribosomal RNA, 301 nt
Filed under: uncultured bacterium
Lineage: Bacteria
Description: partial 16S ribosomal RNA
Rfam family: Bacterial small subunit ribosomal RNA
Source: RNAcentral
CAGCCGCCGCGGGAAUACGAAGGGGGCUAGCGUUGUUCGGAUUUACUGGGCGUAAAGCGCACGUAGGAGGACUUUUAAGUCAGGGGUGAAAUCCCGGGGCUCAACCCCGGAACUGCCUUUGAUACUGGAAGUCUUGAGUAUGGUAGAGGUGAGUGGAAUUCCGAGUGUAGAGGUGAAAUUCGUAGAUAUUCGGAGGAACACCAGUGGCGAAGGCGGCUCACUGGACCAUUACUGACGCUGAGGUGCGAAAGCGUGGGGAGCAAACAGGAUUAGAUACCCCCGUAGUCCCUGUCUCUUAUAC